This is a non-coding RNA of Tetranychus urticae (two-spotted spider mite), 1890 nucleotides long. NCBI's taxonomy places the organism in Eukaryota, Metazoa, Arthropoda, Arachnida, Trombidiformes, Tetranychidae. The record is from RefSeq and is a predicted model, not a curated record.
UAAUCGGUAAUAAUCGACCAUUUUGAUAUUAUCGCACAUCUCUAACCUCGUUUAUUAAUCUACCUUUUUUAUUUUAUCUGAUUACUGAAAUUAUCCUGCAAGAGUAUUACAACACAUUCUUUAAAAUAUUGAGUGGAAUGGAUAAAAUCAAGCAACAAGGUUUAAAUGAGCGUCUUAUGAUAUGGCACCUCGAUUUCCAAGAGUGACUUGUGACUGUGGGAUGGACAAAAGAUAUUAUCUUAAUGGUUACAGAAAAGUGUGUUAAAAGGCUAAUAUGACGCGUUUCAAGUACGUUUGCUGAAUUUGAAUGGUCAAACAAAACAAAUUGAUGCUAAAGCUGAGUGACUUUUGAUGGCGAUAUCAAGCUAGAGUUUAUUGAAACGCACAUAUCAGUGUGAAACCUUUUACAGAUUGGGCCUGAUACAAUAGAAACUGAGAAACCUGCUAAAUGGUCAAUAGUCUACCUUGAUGGCAAUAUGUAUUAUCUUGGAUGUCUUAUACAGCUUUAUCACCAGCAAUAAUGAUUAUAAAUUGAUCAGCAUACUAAUUCCAUUCAUGCAUUAUCUUCAAACAAUAUUCUAUUCCUGUCUAUUCAAUUGAUAAUCUGGUCUGUUACUAUCAUGUGUCCAUCAAUGAACCAUUCAAGGUCUUUUAUCAUCAACAUCAUGAUCCUCCUUCUCCUCACCAUCAUUUCCAGCCUGUUUUCAAGAGAGUCAUUCCUAUUAUUAUUACAAUCUAGCUGAUUAUGUAUGAGCCUGUAACCAUAAUCUUCUAAUGAUGAAAAGACCGUUUAAUUACUGCUAAACUUCUUUUACUUCAUCAUCAACUUAUCUUGUUUCUCUUUCUUUCUCCAAACAUCUUACCUUCCCAAGAAGAAAGAACAGAAAGAGAAAAAGAUGAUGAGGAUGAAAAGGAGGAAACAAGAAAAAACAUUGUGAGUUUUGGGUAUUAUUUAAUUUUAAGCCAUCAAAGACCAAGCAGCAAAAAUAUGAGCGUAUGUUGAAUAUAAUUGAGCGGUUUUAACUUUCACAGAGUAACUCAAUAUCUUGGAUACACCUUGACACUUUAGCGCAAUCAUGUCAUUCCAAUGAAAUGUCAACUGGAAAAAUUAAAGAAGGGAAAUAAUACAAAAUAGUUGCGUUCAACAAGAAUCAAGGAGUACAACGAAGCAAUAGGAAGAUGGAAUAAUAACUUUACAAACAAACCUCUCAGUAGGCGCAUUUGUUUUUCACGGAUAAUUUGCAUUCAGGCCUUUGGUCCACCUUUGGAUUGCAACCCAAUCUUUUUUGGUCUUCAAAAGUUAUUUAAACAAGUUUAACGCCGUUAAUAAUCAAACUGAUCAACUGUACAAAUAUUAUAAUCACACCAAAGUCAAUUAAUUACACCAAAGGCAAAUGGAAGAGGCAGCAACGGUGCAAUGGCGUUUCUUUCAAGCCCAUUCUGGAAAUAUUGAUGAACAAGUAAACCAAUUGAAAGAGACUUACCAUUAAUAUUUGCUGUCUUCAUACUAACUGAAUCUGUGUAGUCAAUAAUUCAAUCGAUUUGAUGAUUCAAUACUUUCUCAAGCCAUUUAUAUUCAAAGUUCAGCCUUUUAGAAGAUGAAAACAAAAAUCGAUUGUCUGCAGAAACAGAAAUCAUCGUUAAUCAUUUAAAUAUGCAUGUAUGGUCAUGUUUGGUUAAAAUGCACUCGGAUGCGGUUACAAAAUUAAGAUCAAUCAUGUUGAUUAACGCUGACAAUUUAAAAUUUAUCCUACAAAAGUCAUUAAUCUAAUAAUUAUACGAAACAACCUGAAGACAAAAUGAAGGACAAUUUGCAUUAAACAUUAUAAUGGGAAAUCAUUUGAUUAAUUAUCUCAUGAUUACUCUUGUCGCAUCUUUCAAUUUGAAUAA